Non-coding RNA from Theobroma cacao (cacao), 3784 nucleotides. The record is from RefSeq and is a predicted model, not a curated record. NCBI's taxonomy places the organism in Eukaryota, Viridiplantae, Streptophyta, Magnoliopsida, Malvales, Malvaceae.
UUUGAUGUUAUUUCUCAUUUCACAAUUGUCUUAAAAUCCAACAAAAAAAAAAAACAUUUACGAAACUCUCACAAGCACAGGCACUUUCAGAAAUCUAAAUUGUCUCUAAUUUGUCCGGCGCCAUAACGGUCAAAACCUGUCAGUCCACUCUCAAUCAUCUCCGGUUCGACGCCGUCCGAUUACUAUUCGCAGAGGAUCAGUCCGAUUUGUCUUUCCACAAGGUUCGGCUCGGUUUUUUGAUUAAUCUCUGAUUCUUUACUUUUUUGAUUCGGAUCACGAGCCGUUGAUUUAUUUGAUCAAAAUUCUCGAUUUCAUUUCCAAAUGAUUAAUGGAGAGGGGACUCGUAAGGAGAACCUCGCCGAAGUCGCCUCUCCCGAUCCGUUCGAUCCAUCCCGUUCGAAAUCGGACGGUGGUGGUGGCGGGGGCGGUGCCUCGACGGCGUCCUCGCCGCACUACUCAUCUUGCGGAGAGUCUGAGCUCGAACGAUAUUGCAGCGCGAACUCGGCGCUUGGAACGCCGAGUUCGAUAGCUACAUUCAAUGAUUGUUUCGGAGAAUCUGAGUUCGGGUCAGUGAGGAGUGUUAGUGGUUUUGGAUUAGGUGAUGAUUUUGAGAAUUUCAGUUUGGAGGGGAGCCAGAAAGUUCCAUCCAAUCGAAGAAUUGAGUUUCCAAAAGACAGAAUCGAAGACGGAAGGGUUGUUAAUGUUAAAAGUGUUGAAGAAGGUAGUUCUUCAUGUUUGGUUUCGGAGUUAAGGGAGGAAGAUGGGAAUUCAUCGAGAUAUGAGCAUUCGGAAGGGGAGGAUUCGAUGUAUAACUAUGGCAUGGAUGAUGAUGAGUGUAGGAAUAAUUCUUAUUAUAGGAAGAAAGAUAAUGAUGAGUAUGACACUAAGAAUGUGAACGAGAAUCCUUUAGGGAUUAAUUCAUCUGUGGCCUUUGGUUCCAAUGAUUGGGAUGAUUUUGAGCAAGAAGCAGGCACAACUGAUCUGGCUUCUUUCAUGCUAGAUGCAACUGCUGCGAGGGAAAAAGUUCAAGGUGGGAAUGAAUUGCAAAAGAAUGUCAAUAGUUUUGGUGAAUUUCCAAUUGGUUUAUUGAGUUCAGUUGAAACAGAGCUUGUAGAAGAAGUGAAAGACAUUCCUGUGGCUAGUUUUCAGGAACAGGUGGCUGAUGACUUAGUGGAAGAGGCAAAAAGUUCUUUGGUCAAUGUAAUCAGUUCUCAAAGGGGUCAUGAGGCAGAGAAAUAUGUGAAAGAUAUUCCUGUUACUAGGAAUCAACUCCAAGAUGCUGAUGAUGACAUGAAGUAUCUAGAAACUUGUUCUGUUACUGAUGUCUUUGAAAUGGAGCAGGAUCCCCCUAUAGAAAAAGCCCCUGUGGAGAUAGGUUUGGAUGUUUUGGAUUCUGACAGGGUAAGGAAGCAUCAAUCUGCUCAUGCUAAGGAAGUGAUUGCUGUUGAUGAGAGUUUAUUAUCAGAAAGACAGGAAAUUGGCAAUUAUAAAGCAGAAUUAGAUCCCCUUGCUGAUUGUGCCCAUCCAGUCUACUCUUCUCAAAAAGUAAAUGCAGAACUGUUUGAUGAUUGCAAACCAGAUUCACCCACAUCUACAUGUGAAAAUAUUGUGAGCAGUAGUACAUUCAAGAAUAUUCCUGUGCCAGCAGAUGUAGUUGAAGAACAUCCUGGACCAGUUAAGAUGGAGAAACUUGAGCUAAAUGAAUUUUAUGAUGAGGUUGUUCAUGACAUGGAAGAAAUUUUGCUUGAGUCUGUUGACUCUCCUGGAGCCAUGUUCUCUCAGGGUAAUAGGAUGUUCCAACCACAGUUAUCUCUACCUCUAAGAGAUGGAGGGUCAACUGCUUCUACUUCAGGUGUAGAUGAUGCUUACUCACGCUCUGCACACUUGCUGAGAAUAGAUGGUGUUGAAGUGGUGGGCGCAAAGCAGCAGAAAGGAGACGUCUCACUUAGUGAAAGAUUGGUUGGGGUAAAGGAGUACACUGUGUAUAAGAUAAGAGUGUGGUGUGGCGAUGACCAGUGGGAGGUUGAACGCAGGUACCGUGAUUUCUGUACUCUCCAUCGUCGCUUGAAAUCAUUAUUCUCUGAUCAAGGUUGGAGUCUUCCUUCUCCCUGGUCAUCUGUAGAAAGGGAAUCUCGAAAGAUAUUUGGGAACGCAGCUCCUGAUGUUAUUGCUGAAAGAAGUGUUCUUAUUCAAGAAUGUUUACAUUCCAUUAUCCAUUCCAGGUCUUUUUCUAGUCCUCCAAGUGCAUUGAUUUGGUUUUUGUCUCCUCAAGAUUCAUUUCCUAGCACCCCUCCAUCAAAUACUCGGUCGUCUCAGUCUACAGAUUUUUCAAGAGGGGCACAUACAGAAAAGAUUUCUCCUUUAGGGAAGACUAUAUCGCUUAUUGUUGAAGUUCGACCACCCAAACCAAUGAAACAGAUUUUAGAAGCUCAACAUUACACUUGUGCUGGAUGCCACAAACAUUUUGAUGAUGGAAUGACUCUGAUGCAAGAUUUGGUACAGUCACUUGGAUGGGGAAAGCCUAGACUUUGUGAAUACACCGGCCAGUUGUUUUGUUCAUCAUGUCACACAAAUGAGAUGGCAGUCUUACCAGCAAGAGUGUUGCAUAAUUGGGAUUUUACUCGGUAUCCAGUUUCACAAUUGGCUAAAUCGUAUCUGGAUUCUAUACAUGACCAGCCCAUGCUUUGUGUUAGUGCAGUUAAUCCUUUCCUGUUUUCGAAGGUUCCAACCCUGCACCAUGUUAUGGGCAUCAGGAAAAAAAUACGAAAUAUGCUUCCAUAUGUUCGCUGUCCAUUUCGGAUGUCAAUCAACAAAGGACUUGGGUCUCGAAGAUAUCUUCUUGAAAGCAAUGAUUUUUUUGCACUUAGAGAUCUCAUAGAUCUUUCCAAAGGAGCUUUUGCAGCUCUUCCUGUGAUGGUGGAAACUGUAUCAAGGAAAAUUCAGGAGCAUAUUGUAGAACAAUGCCUCAUAUGCUGUGAUGUGGGAAUCCCCUGCAGUGCUCGUCAGUCUUGUAAUGACCCAUCAUCUCUCAUAUUUCCUUUUCAGGAAGGUGAGAUUGAAAAGUGUAUGUCCUGUGGUUCAGUUUUUCAUAAGCAUUGCUUUAAAAAGCUUGUAGACUGUCCAUGUGGGGCGCUACUUAGGGCAGAUGAAGCUACGAGGCAUGCAAAUAGUCUAAUCCGUGGUGUCAGUUUUGGGGCCAGUGGAGCUUUGGACUUGUUAGGGAAGAGGUCAAGUUCAGGGUUACCUGUGGGUUUCCUCUCUGGACUAUUUUCAAAGACAAAGCCAGAAGGGAUGGAGCAUAAGGAUAAUGAAAACAUCAUUCUAAUGGGUUCUAUGCCCAGCAAUUAUUUGUGAUCACAUGUGAUGUAUACUUUGUAAGUUACUUUGAUUUGACAGGCUGGAGUUCGUUUUUUGGAGCUUGGUCUAUUAAUUGAUAUCGAUGUGACCAAAUUCUGAGAAACCUCUGUCUUUGCUACAGGUGCUGACCAGUCACCUGUAGAUAAAACAUACACGACAAGAAAGCUGUCUCGAGGGCCAUCAUGUAUGUACAUAGAUUUCUCUCAGAUUUUCAGUUUUCUGGUGGUAAAAAAUCUGGUAAAACUUUCCAAAGUUGUAAAUCUUGUUUCUGCAAAAGGGUUGUUUAGUGGGAAAGUACAAUGUUGUCUUAAGCCAAAUUGUUGUCAUUGAUAUUGUCUGUAAACACUCCUGAACGAGGAUUAAGUAUCCUAUUGAUCGCAUUAAGAGAAUCACUUUAAAUAGCAAGCUACUCGACAAGUUUCGUCUA